ACGCUAGGGGCGGGGCUUGCGGCGGGCACCGCCCCCUUGGCUUACCCGGUCCGGGGCGGAGCUGGGGGCGGGGCCUAGCACCGCCCCUGCCCCGGCGUCUGCAGCCUCCCGGGCACCCGCGGCUCGCGGCGGAUCCUGGGCCGGGACCGCGGGCCGGCGCUCGGCGGGCGCCCGCGGAAACGUGCGUCCCAGCUGCGCCUCGCUCCGAGCUAGGCCCUCGCAGCGCCAGCCGGGGAAGCAGGUGCUCGUCGCGCGCCCCGGGCCGGGCCCAGAGCUCGCGGUGCGCACGGGGCGUGCGGUUCGGCGUGGUUAUGCAGGUCAGAUCCUUCAAAUGGGCCUUUCAGAAAAACACUAACCAAGCUGGGGAUCUUGAGACGCUUUGCGGACCGGCACAGAGGCAUUUCCCGUACUGAACCCUGCGCUGGGGCCACACCCGCCCCAGGAGCCUGCUAACUUCGGGUCAUCUCUCCGGCUUGUCCGCAGAAGGCGGGAGCGUCCCCACUCUCUUCCGUCCGCCGCUGAAUUCAUCGGGUCUCCGGCCGGGAGGCCUCGGGAAUUGUUCAUCCGCGGCCACGGCCCCCAGCCCUGCGAUGACUGUUACCGCCUCGUGCAGAGUCACGGGACUGACUGGGUCUUCAACUCCAGGGAGACGGGGUUCCGAUGCCGCUGUGUGGGACUCGGGGCGACUCCUCUCAGCUGCUGCUCGCUACUCUAGGGCACGCGUGACUCUUCUCUGUGGGUCACCCGAACCCGGGCAGGUCUUCGCACUGUUUCCACCCAUAGAAUGGAAGUGAUAUUGUUUGGCUUCCCAGGUUAACUCCUUAAAACGCCCUGUUGUCUUGAGCUGUUUGCUCUUGGAAUCCAGCCAUCUUCUUGUGGGAGAGCCGGCAGCACAUGGAGAGACCUUGCCCUGGGCUGAAUAAUGUCCCCCAGAUCCGCACCCCCUAGAACCUGGGAAUGGACACUUGUUUGGAAACAGAUUCUUUGCAGAUAUAAUCGUUAGGGUGAAGUCAUGCUGAACUAGGACAGGCCCUAAAUCCCAAAUGACUGAUGCUGUUGUAAGAAGACAGGAGUCCAGACACAGCCUGUGGGGAGAAGGCUUUGGCGAUGGAGGCGGAGGCUGGGGCUCUGCCUCCAGCGACCAGCCCAGGACUGCAGGAGCCAGGAAGCUGAACGGGGCAAGCCAGGGUUCUGCUCUAGGACUCUGAGGGAGUAGGGUUCCACCAGCAUCUUGAAUUCUGGCCUGCAGAACUCGAAUAAAUUUCUGGUUUUUCACAGCA
Mustela lutreola (European mink) is the source of this 1280-nucleotide long non-coding RNA. RefSeq lists it as uncharacterized. The record is from RefSeq and is a predicted model, not a curated record. NCBI's taxonomy places the organism in Eukaryota, Metazoa, Chordata, Mammalia, Carnivora, Mustelidae. The transcript is spliced from 2 exons.